Amphimedon queenslandica is the source of this 275-nucleotide long non-coding RNA. RefSeq lists it as uncharacterized. The transcript has 3 exons. Lineage: Eukaryota; Metazoa; Porifera; Demospongiae; Haplosclerida; Niphatidae. The record is from RefSeq and is a predicted model, not a curated record.
CGAGAUAUUGACAUUUAUAAAGGCCUAAGAUGGAGGAGCCUAUUGGAUCUUGGGUUUUCCCGAGGCUUUCCCUCACAUUAGCCUCAAAGGAGAUGGUUUAUUUUUCAAAAUGGAUCUAUAGGCAUAGGAACAGGCUCAGAAAAGACAAAUCUUUUCAAAGGUUGCUUCAAAUAGAGAGGCUAAUAAAGAGAUAUUUAAAAAUAAAUAUUACGAACUUAGCUAAACAAGCACUCAAAGAAACAAAUUCAUCAGGCAGGGUCGUCUCCUCAACUCAA